Molecule: transfer RNA, 72 nt
Filed under: Sphaerodactylus townsendi
Lineage: Eukaryota; Metazoa; Chordata; Lepidosauria; Squamata; Sphaerodactylidae
Description: tRNA-Ala
Rfam family: tRNA
About the family: Transfer RNA (tRNA) molecules are approximately 80 nucleotides in length. Their secondary structure includes four short double-helical elements and three loops (D, anti-codon, and T loops).
Source: RNAcentral
GGGGUUGUGGCUCAGUGGUAGUGCCUCUGCUUGGCAUGCAGAAGGCCCUAGGUAUAAUUCCCAGCAUCUCUU